RNAcentral lists this small RNA (98 nucleotides) under Arabidopsis thaliana (thale cress). RNAcentral's name for it is "ATSL270910". The record is from RNAcentral. Lineage: Eukaryota; Viridiplantae; Streptophyta; Magnoliopsida; Brassicales; Brassicaceae.
AGAAGCCUAAGUGGUGUUUCCUUGUAAGAAGAUACAAAGCCAAAGAUUCAUACGGACUUCGGCUACACCACUAAAGCUUUGUGAAGCAUGAAAAAGCU